GACGAACGCUGGCGGCGUGCUUAACACAUGCAAGUCGAACGGAAAGGCCCUGCUUUUGUGGGGUGCUCGAGUGGCGAACGGGUGAGUAACACGUGAGUAACCUGCCCUUGACUUUGGGAUAACUUCAGGAAACUGGGGCUAAUACCGGAUAGGAGCUCCUGCUGCAUGGUGGGGGUUGGAAAGUUUCGGCGGUUGGGGAUGGACUCGCGGCUUAUCCGCUUGUUGGUGGGGUAGGGGCUUACCAAGGCUUUGACGGGUAGCCGGCCUGGGAGGGUGACCGGCCACAUUGGGACUGAGAUACGGCCCAGACUCCUACGGUAGGCAGCAGUGGGGAAUAUUGCACAAUGGGCGGAAGCCUGAUGCAGCAACGCCGCGUGCGGGAUGACGGCCUUCGGGUUGUAAACCGCUUUCGCCUGUGACGAAGCGUGAGUGACGGUAAUGGGUAAAGAAGCACCGGCUAACUACGUG
RNAcentral lists this ribosomal RNA (468 nucleotides) under uncultured bacterium. Its description in RNAcentral is "partial 16S ribosomal RNA". It matches the Rfam family "Bacterial small subunit ribosomal RNA", at positions 28 to 507 of the family's 1533-position model. The record is from RNAcentral.